Oryzias melastigma (Indian medaka) is the source of this 1471-nucleotide long non-coding RNA. RefSeq lists it as uncharacterized. Lineage: Eukaryota; Metazoa; Chordata; Actinopteri; Beloniformes; Adrianichthyidae. The transcript is spliced from 3 exons. The record is from RefSeq and is a predicted model, not a curated record.
CCUUCUCCUGCAGCUUCUGAACCUUCGGGACGUCAGUCAACCACGGCCGGUCUGAGAACAGCAGGUUUGGCACAUUAGAGCCUCGUGGUCAACAACAGGGAUUCAGCACAGAUGCACUUCAGUCACUUCCUGUUUGAAGCACAGAAAUGAGACGAUCCUGAGCUCCCAAUCAGACGCAAAAAACUACUUUCGCUGCUCAAAGUCCAAACCCAGGAGGACCGGAGCCGCCCAGUCCAAACCAGGAUAAAGAACAUUACACAACCCUAAUGCUCCAGAGCUAUCAGUCACCUUGAAUUCAAAUCUCUCCGCUUGUUCAGCUGUCGCUAUCUCUGGGAAAACGUAUCGGAAUGACACUCUGAUGGGGCAGCCCAGCCUGAGCUGAUGUCAAAGAUGAGAUUUUAGGAAAUAAUCUCCUUCCUUGGUGCUAUCACACGUCUUGUUGUGUGAGACGUUAAAUCUUCAAGUGUUUCAGAAACAGAGGGCACGGUGACACGGUGAACUUCAGGGGCUCCUUCCCAGCAGACAGGAGGUGUGAGGCCGAGAGCCGAGCGCUCCUGCUGCCCCGUACAACUCGGAUUAGGUGUGUUUGGAUUUUGCCUCCUGUCUGACUGAGUUCUCUGCUCUGCAGUAACUUUAGCCGCGAAGGGGAAGCGGAUCUCAGCUGAACCCCGCAGGGCGCCUUGGUUAAGUGUGUCCUCGCUGUGCGCAUAUCCUGCCUGCAACAUCCCUGCAGAAGGUUCUGCUGCUGCCAAAGGCUGAACAAAUGCGAACAUGGAUGAGGGAAUAUCUGGGAUUACAUGAUCCUAAUCUCUGAUUCAGAAACUGAGUAUAAAGAAGUGAUGGAGCCUCAAAAACAUCAGAACUUCUGCACAGAACUGUUUGUUUCAUCGCGGACGACAGGAGUCCUUCACGCACGCGCACACACGAUGUAAUCGUCAUUGACAGAAGUAGGUCAAUGGACCGCCCCGCGCGCGGACUGACCGCCGUCCGUCCUGUUGUUGGAGCUGAAAACGAAAACACACUUCAGCAGAACAACCCUUUCAAAAUAAAAGUCCGGCUGAAGGAGACUUUUAAUUUUGUUUAGGAAUAAAUUAAAACAAAGAAGAGAGGAUGGCGGGAAACUGAAGCUCCUUGUUUGUGGUAAACAAGUGUUCCCAGCAGGUUUUAGUGCGCGUGGACCGUCCAUGAAUCACUCCGCUCACCCCCACCCCCACCCCUCUUACAUAACAGGAGUCAGCGGCUCAACUUGCGAAAAUUAAGAGGCUUAAGCGGCAAGAGGCGCAUUUCUUCUGCGCAACACAAACAAAACAAACAAACAAACAAACUCACCGGCGCGUUGACGCGUUUCCCCGCAGAAUUCUUUGCGCUUUUACGCAUCCACUGACGCACUUUGAACUGUCAGCGCCGCGCCCCCCACCACCCAACACUUUGCCAACAUGAAAAGUGUUCAGAGGAACAACUCACCUCUCAU